UCCGAUCCAGAAUAAGUGUCA
RNAcentral lists this microRNA (21 nucleotides) under Corchorus capsularis. RNAcentral describes it as "sRNA CCACVL1_24818". Lineage: Eukaryota; Viridiplantae; Streptophyta; Magnoliopsida; Malvales; Malvaceae. The record is from RNAcentral.